UGAUGCUGUAUUGGGGACGGUGAAUCAUCACAUUCACAUUUCCUUGGGUCUCCCAACCCAUGCCACGAUCAAUGCCGGGAGCCCUGCCCGAUCGACGCAUUACAGUUUGCAGCUGCCAGGAAGCUCUGGCCAUGGCCUUGCGUCUGGGCCGCAGCAUCAGGCGGGGAUCGAGAGCCCGGCCCGGCAUGCCAUUGCUUCACCUACAAGAACGGUGUCCUCCCCAAGCCCCGUGAGGAACAUCGUAAAAUCUCUGCAUCAGUUGGCACUAGGAGGCCUACCGAGAAACGUAGGGGCUGAACUCGAUACACAGCCGACACCGGCGCGCAUGAUGCAAGCAGACCUUUCUCUUGUCAAUGCAAACACAUCAAAGGCAACAGCGAACCUGCACAUGACCACGAUGGCGCUUGGGGAGCUAGAGUUCAACGAGGUUUUCUUGAUAUAUGUGUACCUUGGCCGCAACAAGAUAGAAGAUGUGUGUGAGUUACGAGAAGAUUAUAUUAGGUCACUGCCUUCACUUUCAAUGAAAGAUUUUGAACCAGAAAUUUGGCACAGAUUUGGUCACAAGUUUGUAGCCGAAUCAGAUAGAAGGAGGGUUGUACUAUAUUUGAACUUGCUCUUGUUCAUUACUAUCUGUUAUAUUUGCUCAUGGCUGCAGCCAACAUAUAAUAUUUUUUAGUAGCUUAUGAUUUCUCA
Molecule: non-coding RNA, 693 nt
Organism: Aegilops tauschii subsp. strangulata
Lineage: Eukaryota; Viridiplantae; Streptophyta; Magnoliopsida; Poales; Poaceae
Source: RefSeq, a predicted model, not a curated record